Long non-coding RNA from Osmia bicornis bicornis, 258 nucleotides. RefSeq lists it as uncharacterized. The record is from RefSeq and is a predicted model, not a curated record. The transcript is spliced from 2 exons. NCBI's taxonomy places the organism in Eukaryota, Metazoa, Arthropoda, Insecta, Hymenoptera, Megachilidae.
UGCCAACACGUCAUUAUUCCAUCAUAUUGUUGAACAAAUGGGCGGGGGAGGGGCGGGGCCCAUCCCCCUGCACCCCCGCCCCAUAAACAACAAAACCGCCGAAUUGGGAGAAGCCCCACACGUUGGCACCAAUGUAUCAAUGUUUCUCGAUCUGGAAUUAUCUCGCGAAAAAUACGAGACAUAUUCCACUGACCAUUCAAUGGAUUGUCGUUCAUUUUGUAACCUAUGUUAAUAAAUCUACAAUCAAUCUACAAUCUA